Molecule: transfer RNA, 73 nt
Filed under: Lactobacillus delbrueckii subsp. lactis
Lineage: Bacteria; Bacillati; Bacillota; Bacilli; Lactobacillales; Lactobacillaceae
Description: tRNA-Ala
Rfam family: tRNA
About the family: Transfer RNA (tRNA) molecules are approximately 80 nucleotides in length.
Source: RNAcentral
CGGGGCAUAGCUCAGCUGGGAGAGCACCUGCUUUGCAAGCAGGAGGUCAUCGGUUCGAUCCCGUUUGCCUCCA